Triticum aestivum (bread wheat) is the source of this 648-nucleotide long non-coding RNA. RefSeq lists it as uncharacterized. The transcript has 2 exons. NCBI's taxonomy places the organism in Eukaryota, Viridiplantae, Streptophyta, Magnoliopsida, Poales, Poaceae. The record is from RefSeq and is a predicted model, not a curated record.
CUUUGUUUUAGAAUCAUUAUUGAGUUGCCUUUCUAGCUAUCAUCUCAAAUAAGGCUCAUAUGAGUAGAAAUAUUACCACAAUGUAGUUGAGUAUGACUGCGUCUUAGGAUCAUAUAUGUUAGUUGCCAAAAAUGCCUGAGACCUAUGUUUUAGAAUCUGGUCGGUGGUACAAUGAUAUGCCAUAUCACAAUUCAUAGCAGAUUUCAAUCAGCUGUUGCAUUGGAAGAAUCCUUAACCAUAUCUGCAGAUUAUUCUUCAGUUCCUUUAUUUUCAUUACCGGAAGCAAAGUGGGCGUGAUGAACUUGACAAUUUGGAUAAAGCCUAAUGCACAGCAAACAAAGUAUUUCAUUUCUUUUCUUCAAUGGAAAAGACAUGGAGCUACCACCUGCGUGGGGAUUGUGCAUUUUUCUUGGAAAGCUGCGCAAUAGCCACUCCCCGUGCAGAACUGCAGAGACAAGGUUCACACGCUUAAUUUGCGGUGAAUGAGCUGCGGCGCCGCAUGGUUAAGGGAUGAAAUCUGUUAAGGGAUAGAUGCAGCAGUCUGCCGUGUUAGAAUACCAAAAAUGUAUGUGUCAUGUACUCAGGGUCAUGCUAUAUCUGUACAUCGUAUGGUGAUUUGCAGUUCUUCAUGCUAUCUCUAUUUUUGUA